Molecule: unclassified non-coding RNA, 186 nt
Filed under: uncultured fungus
Lineage: Eukaryota; Fungi
Description: sequence contains ITS1
Source: RNAcentral
GUGAAUCUGUAGCCUCCGAGGCUCACACAUUCUCUAUCCCUUUACACACCUGUGCACCCUUUCUGAAGCGGAGAGUUAUUAGGCCGUCCCGGUCGAGGGCCUCCCUUCGGUUACACUACAUCAACUUCGAACCACGUUUACUAGAACGUCGUACCGUCUUGUCGUAACGGCAAGCACAAUCCAAUA